Cucumis sativus (cucumber) is the source of this 683-nucleotide long non-coding RNA. RefSeq lists it as uncharacterized. The record is from RefSeq and is a predicted model, not a curated record. The transcript has 3 exons. NCBI's taxonomy places the organism in Eukaryota, Viridiplantae, Streptophyta, Magnoliopsida, Cucurbitales, Cucurbitaceae.
CUCUUUUAUCCAAUUCAAUUUUAUUGAACCUGUUGAUCCUAUUCAUAUUUUUAUUUUGGUUGAGAUUGACCUCGUAAAAUAUGGAGUACGACUUUUUUUAUCUAUUGUGUAACCGAAGUUUAUUCACUGGUUUCUUUUUCAUGCAACCGAUUGUGUUAUGUGGAGACAAAAAAUUAUAAGACUAGGUUUGAUUUUCAAACUAAAAAAUUGUGAACAGGUACUUGGGGAGUUUGCAAUUCACUCCAUAUGAAAGCAGCACAAACAAGGGGGAGAUUGUAUUGAGGGGAGUGAUUUGAAAGUCUUGAAAUAAGAUUCUAAGAGAUUAUGAUAAAUUUUUAAAUGAGACAAACUGGCUAAUCUAAUUGGGCCAAGUGGGGGCAAACUGGGCCUUGGCCCACAUCCUGAAGUCUUACUCUGAACCUUGGAAUUUGUGGGCCGACCUCAGUCCUUUUCAGGUCUUAAGCAUGGCGUAACAGAAAGGCUUUCAAUAAAUAGCAAACACUUGUUGUGAUAUGGUGCUUAAAUUUCUCAACCUGCCUUGCUUGCAGGGCUGCUGCCUGCUACCAUUAGGCACUAUUUUCAAACAAUGUACAUAUUAUUGUACAUCAAAAAUCUAUAUUCUUUAUAGCUAUCAUACAGUGUACUACUUACUACUAAAACUUAACCAUGGCUGAAAAAAAAAA